GUAGGGGGCAAGCGUUAUCCGGAUUUACUGGGUGUAAAGGGAGCGUAGACGGAACAGCAAGUCUGAUGUGAAAGACCGGGGCUUAACCCCGGGCCUGCAUUGGAAACUGUUGAUCUUGAGUGCCGGAGGGGUAAGCGGAAUUCCUGGUGUAGCGGUGAAAUGCGUAGAUAUCAGGAGGAACACCGGUGGCGAAGGCGGCUUACUGGACGGCAACUGACGUUGAGGCUCGAAAGCGUGGGGAGCAAACAGGAUUAGAUACCCUGGUAGUCCACGCCGUAAACGAUGACUACUAGGUGUCGGGUAGCAAAGCUAUUCGGUGCCGCAGCCAACGCAAUAAGUAGUCCACCUGGGGAGUACGUUCGCAAGAAUG
Molecule: ribosomal RNA, 370 nt
Filed under: uncultured bacterium
Lineage: Bacteria
Description: bacterial SSU rRNA
Rfam family: Bacterial small subunit ribosomal RNA
Source: RNAcentral